RNAcentral lists this small RNA (703 nucleotides) under Histoplasma ohiense. RNAcentral's name for it is "hypothetical lncRNA". Lineage: Eukaryota; Fungi; Ascomycota; Eurotiomycetes; Onygenales; Ajellomycetaceae. The record is from RNAcentral.
CCCCACAUCUCAUCCCGAUCAAUAGCACGGGCAAACGCGCUUGAGUCAAAGCAGAAUCCUAUAGCCAGCUGCUUGUUUCUUAUCAAGUAAAUUGUUUUGAAAUUGCUUCCUCUGUUCCCUGGCUGUUCAGGAGAAACGCUCUGUACGACAAAUCAAACCAUACGCAUCACAAUGGCAGGCGAUCCACACCCAGAAGAAGAUUCGUCUCGGGCUAUCAAUGGCGAGGAGCUUGGGGAUGUGGAAGCAAACCUGCAACCACCGCUUGGUAUUAUAGAUAGAAGGCCGUGGAUCGUGCGUUAUUUAGCUCAGGAUGUCAACACAGAGCACGCAGACCUAAUAUUUCUGGUCUGUUAUUUCCUGUCGGGUCUCAGUGACAGCGCUGCCUACAGAGCCUGGGGUUGCUUUGUUAGCAUGCAGACCGGAAACACCAUUUUUCUCGGAUUGGGAGCAUCCGACGCUCUUGACCAAACGACAUACCAUUGGCUUAAAGCCCUCGUUUCUAUUCUCUCUUUCCUCGCCGGGGGUGUAGCAUUCUCCAAAACCCAACAUUUUGGACCUCAAACUAGACGCACCAUGCUCAUUAAUUUUGGUUCUCAAACACUCCUAGUAAUCGUAGCAGCAUCCCUACUGCAGUCCGGUCUAAUCGACGAUUCCGGCGAGGUUACGGACCACCAUGUUUUCCUAAAACUCAUACCAUUGUCCU